Molecule: ribosomal RNA, 297 nt
Filed under: uncultured bacterium
Lineage: Bacteria
Description: partial 16S ribosomal RNA
Rfam family: Bacterial small subunit ribosomal RNA
Source: RNAcentral
CUAUGCGCCUUGCCAGCCCGCUCAGGUGUGCCAGCCGCCGCGGUAAUACAGAGGUCUCAAGCGUUGUUCGGAAUCACUGGGCGUAAAGCGUGCGUAGGCGGUUUCGUAAGUCGUGUGUGAAAGGCGGGGGCUCAACCCCCGGACUGCACAUGAUACUGCGAGACUAGAGUAAUGGAGGGGGAACCGGAAUUCUCGGUGUAGCAGUGAAAUGCGUAGAUAUCGAGAGGAACACUCGUGGCGAAGGCGGGUUCCUGGGCAUUAACUGACGCUGAGCACGAAGGCCAGGGAGCGAAAGGG